UACAGAGGUCCCAAGCGUUGUUCGGAUUUACUGGGCGUAAAGGGUGCGUAGGCGGUGGGGUAAGUUUGAGGUGAAAGCUCCGGGCUCAACCCGGAAACUGCCUUGAAAACUAUCCGGCUAGAGGGUUGGAGGGGAGACUGGAAUUCUCGGUGUAGCAGUGAAAUGCGUAGAUCUCGAGAGGAACACCAGUGGCGAGGGCGGGUCUCUGGACAACACCUGACGCUGAGGCACGAAAGCCAGGGGAGCAAACGGG
Molecule: ribosomal RNA, 253 nt
Filed under: uncultured bacterium
Lineage: Bacteria
Description: partial 16S ribosomal RNA
Rfam family: Bacterial small subunit ribosomal RNA
Source: RNAcentral